CUAAAACGUAUAUUAAAGUUGUUGCGGUUAAAAGCUCGUAGUUGGAUUUCUGUUGAGAUCGGUCGGUCCCCACUCUGUGGGCGUAUCUGAUAUGGUCUUGGCAUCCUCAUAGGGAACCGGAGGCACUUCACUGUGUGGCCGGGAAUCUAUGACUUUUACUUUGAGGAAAUUAGAGUGUUCAAAGCAGGCAAGCGCCUUGAAUACAUUAGCAUGGAAUAAUAAUAUAGGGCUUUGGUUCUAUUUUGUUGGUUUCUAGGACUAAAGUAAUGAUUAAUAGGGAUAAUUGGGGGCAUUUGUAUUAACGCGUCAGAGGUGGAAUUCUUGGAUUGCGUUACGACAAACUACUGCGAAAGCAUUUGCCAAGGAUGUUUUCAUUGAUCAAGAACGAAAGUAUGGGGAUCGAAGACGAUUAGAUACCAU
This 420-nucleotide ribosomal RNA is filed under the name uncultured eukaryote. Its description in RNAcentral is "SSU rRNA". It matches the Rfam family "Eukaryotic small subunit ribosomal RNA", at positions 592 to 1018 of the family's 1831-position model. The record is from RNAcentral.